RNAcentral lists this ribosomal RNA (432 nucleotides) under uncultured bacterium. Its description in RNAcentral is "partial 16S ribosomal RNA". It matches the Rfam family "Bacterial small subunit ribosomal RNA", at positions 29 to 506 of the family's 1533-position model. The record is from RNAcentral.
AACGAACGCUGGCGGCAUGCCUAACACAUGCAAGUCGAACGAGACCUUCGGGUCUAGUGGCGCACGGGUGCGUAACGCGUGGGAACCUGCCCUUAGGUUCGGAAUAACUCCCCGAAAGGGGUGCUAAUACCGGAUAAUGUCUUCGGACCAAAGAUUUAUCGCCUUUGGAUGGGCCCGCGUUGGAUUAGCUAGUUGGUAGGGUAAAAGCCUACCAAGGCGACGAUCCAUAGCUGGUCUGAGAGGAUGAUCAGCCACACUGGGACUGAGACACGGCCCAGACCCCUACGGGAGGCAGCAGUGGGGAAUUGUGGAAAAUGGGGGAAACCCUGUUCCAGCAAUGCCGGGUGGGGGAUGAAGGCCUUAGGGUUGUAAAGCCUUUUUACCCGGGAUUAAAAUGAAAGUACCGGGAGAAUAAGCCCCGGCAACCCCCGG